RNAcentral lists this ribosomal RNA (394 nucleotides) under uncultured bacterium. RNAcentral's name for it is "bacterial SSU rRNA". It matches the Rfam family "Bacterial small subunit ribosomal RNA", at positions 775 to 1173 of the family's 1533-position model. The record is from RNAcentral.
GGAUUAGAUACCCGGGUAGUCCACGCCGUAAACGAUGAAUGCCAGCUGUCGGGAGGUUUACCUCUCGGUGGCGCAGCUAACGCUUUAAGCAUUCCGCCUGGGGAGUACGGUCGCAAGAUUAAAACUCAAAGAAAUUGACGGGGGCCCGCACAAGCGGUGGAGCAUGUGGUUUAAUUCGACGCAACGCGCAGAACCUUACCAGCCCUUGACAUGUCCGGCUAUCCAGAGAGAUCUGGAGUUCCUUCGGGACCGGAACACAGGUGCUGCAUGGCUGUCGUCAGCUCGUGUCGUGAGAUGUUGGGUUAAGUCCCGCAACGAGCGCAACCCUCGCCCUUAGUUGCCAUCAUUUAGUUGGGCACUCUAAGGGGACUGCCGGUGAUAAGCCGGAGGAAGG